RNAcentral lists this ribosomal RNA (768 nucleotides) under Mirufens sp. D0772. Its description in RNAcentral is "SSU rRNA". It matches the Rfam family "Eukaryotic small subunit ribosomal RNA", at positions 477 to 1206 of the family's 1831-position model. The record is from RNAcentral. Lineage: Eukaryota; Metazoa; Arthropoda; Insecta; Hymenoptera; Trichogrammatidae.
UAACGAUACGGGACUCAUCCGAGGCCCCGUAAUCGGAAUGAGUACACUUUAAAUCCUUUAACGAGGAUCAAUUGGAGGGCAAGUCUGGUGCCAGCAGCCGCGGUAAUUCCAGCUCCAAUAGCGUAUAUUAAAGUUGUUGCGGUUAAAAAGCUCGUAGUUGAAUCUGUGUGCCACGCUGUCGGUUCAUCGCUCGCGAUGUCUAACUGACAUGAUUGUGGGACGUCCUACCGGUGGACUUAGCUCCUCACGGGGCGGUCCAGCUUAAACCUAUCGCGGUGCUCUUAAGUGAGUGUCGAGGUGGGCCGGUACGUUUACUUUGAACAAAUUAGAGUGCUCAAAGCAGGCUAUGUUCGCCUGAAUACUGUGUGCAUGGAAUAAUGGAAUAGGACCUUGGUUCUAUUUUGUUGGUUUUCGGAAACCUAGGUAAUGAUUAAUAGGGACAGAUGGGGGCAUUCGUAUUGCGACGUUAGAGGUGAAAUUCUUGGAUCGUCGCAAGACGGACAGAAGCGAAAGCAUUUGCCAAAAAUGUUUUCAUUAAUCAAGAACGAAAGUUAGAGGUUCGAAGGCGAUCAGAUACCGCCCUAGUUCUAACCAUAAACGAUGCCAGCUAGCGAUCCGCCGAAGUUCCUCCGAUGACUCGGCGGGCAGCUUCCGGGAAACCAAAGCUUUUGGGUUCCGGGGGAAGUAUGGUUGCAAAGCUGAAACUUAAAGGAAUUGACGGAAGGGCACCACCAGGAGUGGAGCCUGCGGCUUAAUUUGACUCAACAC